This 315-nucleotide ribosomal RNA is filed under the name Triticum aestivum (bread wheat). RNAcentral's name for it is "partial small subunit ribosomal RNA". The record is from RNAcentral. Lineage: Eukaryota; Viridiplantae; Streptophyta; Magnoliopsida; Poales; Poaceae.
AUGAAGCAAAAUAGUCCAGCGGCAUGUGCUUACAAGCUUGAUCUUUCGAAGGCUUAUGACCGAGUGGACUGGGAUUUUCUCGAGAAGGCCCUAGUUAAGUGGGGUUUCUCUGGUGUUUGGAUCAACUGGAUCAUGGCAUGCGUUAAAUCGGUAACAUAUUCGGUGAAGUUCAAUGGGAAAUUACUUGAGGUGUUCUCCCCUUCGAGGGGCUUGGGACAAGGUGAUCCAUUGUCUCCGUUCCUUUUCCUAUUUGUCGCCGAUGCUCUAUAUGCUCUUAUUUCCAAGUCUGUCGCGGAUGGUGACUUGCGGGUGUGA